Molecule: long non-coding RNA, 2734 nt
Organism: Oreochromis niloticus (Nile tilapia)
Lineage: Eukaryota; Metazoa; Chordata; Actinopteri; Cichliformes; Cichlidae
Source: Ensembl
GCUGUGGGCGUUUACGUGGAGCACGUGAAGGCGGCACGUUUGGGUCUGUUUAGCUCUGUCCGCUGCUCCCUGACAGUUGAAGAGGACACACAGAGGCACGAAACAGCGAGAAAGACAAAAUGAAGGACGUCAAUAUUAUGCGGAUUCUCGUCAUAAUCCUGUGUGCGGUGGUUUUUGUUGCCGUUUUAGUCUUUAACGCUUUGGCCGGAGCGGGCAAAGGUCCCUUUCAUACUUCUACAGGAAAUGUAUCAGCCCGCUAUGAGACAGGCAUCACUCCAGCUGGCUGGACCUUCUCCAUCUGGGGCGUUAUCUAUACCUGGCUCACCCUGAUGGUGAUUUAUAUCACUUCAUACACAUGCAGAGGAUCCUGGGCUCAGUGUCUGCUGCCCUACGGCUUCUAUAUUUGCUGGCUCUCCAACAUGGUGCUGAACAUAAUCUGGCUCCUGCUGUGGGACGCAGAGAUGACGCUGGCGUCUUUGGUCGUUUUAAUCCUGAUAGCGGUUUCUGGCUAUAGCGCUCUGUUCUUCUGUUGCUUUGCCACAGAUUACUACGGACUCUGGUUACAGACGUACCAUCGCAAAGACCUGACCUUUCUCAGAGUACUGGUCCAAAAUGGUUUGGCUCUCUACACUACAUGGACUUCUAUCGCCUCUCUGAUCAAUUUCUCUGUAGUUCUCCACCUGUGGGGUGUGGAUAAGAGCACGGCAGCAACUGCGUCACUGUGCAUCCUGUUUGCAGAGGUGCUGGCAUGGUUCAUUCUGGAGAACUGGGUGCUGGACCGCUGGGUGCGCAACAUCCUCACAAUCUACCCGGUGGUGAUCGUGGCUCUGGUCGGAAACGUCUACAAGCACUUCAACCCAGCUGAUCCCACUCCAAACGCCAUCUUUAUGGUUGUGCUGUUGGUGCUGGCGUGCAUCCUUUUCGUGUCCAGAUUCUUCACGGUGCUCUGGAGGAACAAGUGGCGCCCUCUGCACUCCCCGGGCUCAGCACGGCUGAUGGUGUCACCCCUCGACGGCAGGACGUUCAGAGUCCUUUCUUAAACGAAACUCGUGCCUCUCCAGACCCACUGAGUUACAUGUUCACACCACCUCCACAGUCAUGUUUGAAGGUAGAUCUAAAUGUUAAACAGAGUUUAUCUGUCAGCAUGGGGAGCAAAUGUAUUUCUUCAGUGGAAGAAAGAGUCUGCACGGGAAGGCAGGAAACCCACAAAUCUUUUCUAUCUGCUCUUCAGCUGUACUGAAGAAAAUAGAAAUACCUUCUUUAAAAUACUUUAAAUUCUUUUAAAAACUACUACAACUAUUUAAUACACUGCUUAAUUUUAUCUUAAUGUACUUUAUUCAUGUAUUUCAGUGUUUCCCACUCACACACUUUAGUUUGCAGGUUUAUUAGUGGCUCCCGCAGCUCAUUUUUGAUUUGGUUUUUUUUGUUGUUGUUGUUUUUUGUUUUUUAUCCAUCUGAGACAAUGAGACAAGUUCACACUCCAUGAUUUCAUGAUCUCUGUGCUCUUAUUUUGAAAGUUCGAUCACUGCUAAUUAGGGAUGGGUACUGGUGUCCGGUGCCAUCUGACAUAAACGGUAGUAACCAGACUGAAAAGCAGCGCACAUUUUGGUGCUUUUUUUUAAUUGAGAUGUCAUACACUUUGGAUUCUAGCCAAUCAUUUUACGUUUCCAAGGAUAGUAGGCGGGCCCAGGUACAUACGUUCUUUUAGAGCAGAGCUACAGAUUAAAAAUGCCCAAGGCGAAGCGGUCAAAAGUCUGGCUGUACUUCACAGCAAAAGAUGCAAACUCAGCAGCCUGCAACAAGUGCUUUAAGCUGAUUCUGUGCAAAGGAGGUAACACCUCGAAUCUGAUGAAACACCUGGCGACGCAUAGCGUUUUUUUAAUAGCCGAGAAAUGCACCGUAUUUGAUAGCUUGCUGCAAGUCCUCACACCGUGCACAUCUACUGCGGGUGUGGUGCCUGUUAUCGGACCCGGAGUUAGCAACAUCCCCCAAGAACCCGACGAGUAGAGUCCUGGCCCCUAGCCCUGUCAGCGUAGCAGAAAUGAUGAGGAUGAUGAUGGCAGCAGCAGCAGCCGUUCUUCUCUGCGUGAGUAGCUUCAUGUUGUUCGUGUGUAAUUUACGUUGAGUAGGCUAACCACGUUAUUACAUUAAUGCACGUAAGGUGAACUAGCAAACACUGUCGUAGUUACAUGCGGCUGUCUUCUUGUUUGAUAGAGUGGUACCAUAUAUGCCCUAUAGCUGCAGAAAAGGCUAACAUUGUUAUCUUUUUACAAAAAAAACAGCUAAACAUGAGAGGUUUUAGGACAAAGUUUGUGUUUUCCAUUGUUUAAGCACCGGUUCCAACCAAAGGAGGUAUGUUGUAUCAACAGCAAAGGCUAACUUGGUUAUCAUUUUGCAGAAAAAAAAGAGACUGCUAAAAAUAAAAACAUAAGAGGUUUUUGGACAAAGUUUGUGUUCUCCAUUCUUUAAGCACCGGUUUGAGCACCGUUUAAGCACCGGCACCGUUUCAAAAGUACCGGUUUGGCGCCGAUAUCGGAUAAAACCUAGACGAUACCCAUCCCUACUGCUAAUCAGCUGGCUCGCUGCACAGUUUACUGUUGUGGUGAUGCUCAGUGUCGUUCGGCUGUUUUUCCUGACAGAUUCUGGUCCUGAAGUCAGGACGAGAAACUCCAACUCCAGCUUCUUGGACUGCAGAUAGUUGAUGUUAGCUGGGUAUCAUGAACCAUUUUUUUUU